RNAcentral lists this ribosomal RNA (497 nucleotides) under uncultured bacterium. RNAcentral describes it as "partial 16S ribosomal RNA". It matches the Rfam family "Bacterial small subunit ribosomal RNA", at positions 28 to 507 of the family's 1533-position model. The record is from RNAcentral.
GAUGAACGCUGGCGGCGUGCCUAAUACAUGCAAGUCGAGCGAACAGACGAGGAGCUUGCUCCUCUGACGUUAGCGGCGGACGGGGGAGAAACAUGUGGAUAACAUACCUAUAUGACUGGGAUAACUUCGGGAAACCGGAGCUAAUACCGGAUAAUCUAUUCAACCGCAUGGUUCAAUAGUGAAAGACGGUUUUGCUGUCACUUAUAGAUGUAUCCGCGCCGGAUUAGCUAGUUGGUAGGGUAACGGCUUACCAAGGCAACGAUGCGUAGCCGACCUGAGAGGGUGAACGGCCACACUGGAACUGAGACACGGUCCAGACUCCUACGGGAGGCAGCAGUAGGGAAUCUUGCGCAAUGGGCGAAAGCCUGACGGAGCAACGCCGCGUGAAUGAUGAAGGUCUUCGGGUCGUAAAACUCUGUUAGUAGGGAAGAAGAAAUGUGUAAGUAACUAUGCACGUCUUGACGGUACCUGAAGAAGAAGCCACGGCUAACUACGUG